AGGUUUGGCACCUCGAUGUCGGCUCAUCACAUCCUGGGGCUGUAGUAGGUCCCAAGGGUUGGGCUGUUCGCCCAUUAAAGUGGUACGCGAGCUGGGUUCAGAACGUCGUGAGACAGUUCGGUCCCUAGCCGUCGCAGGCGUAGGAAAUUUGAGAAGACCUGUCCUUAGUACGAGAGGACCGGGAUGGACGUACCUCUGGUGUACCAGUUGUCCUGCCAAGGGCAUGGCUGGGUAGCUAUGU
Molecule: ribosomal RNA, 241 nt
Filed under: Clostridioides difficile
Lineage: Bacteria; Bacillati; Bacillota; Clostridia; Peptostreptococcales; Peptostreptococcaceae
Description: partial 23S ribosomal RNA
Rfam family: Bacterial large subunit ribosomal RNA
Source: RNAcentral